CAGCAGAGGAGGCAGGGCUGCAGGUUGGAGACUAUGUGCUGGCAGUAAACGGCACUGAUGUCACUAGUAUCCCACACUCAGAAGCAGCUGACCUCGCACGACAAGGCCCAGACAUUUUAACUCUGACCAUUGGCUCGGAUAUUGGUCGAAUGCCUAACACUCCACGGCCAACAUGCAGAGGUUACUUGCAUAAGCGAACUCAAUCCAGUUUGCUGAAGGGCUGGAGAAAGAGGUGGUUUGUGCUCAGACAUGACUGCUGCCUCUAUUACUACAGAAACAAGCGUGAUGAAGGGAAGAGCCGAGCUCUGUCUGUGAUAAGUCUGGAAGGGGCGCUGGUGGAGGCCGACACCAGUUUAGGAAAGCCAUUUGUGUUCAGAUUCUGCCCUGUCUCUGGGAGCCGAGUUUACUACUUGUGUGCUACAUCAAACCAAGAGAUGAAAAGGUGGCUGGAGGCUAUGGGUCGAGCAGUUCAUCCCAUUACUCAGAAUCACGUCUGGGUGGACGUCACUCGACACAACUCAAAUCUUCCCCCACUGGCAGUCAAGAACCCAGAAUGCCUUGGGUUGCUCCACCAGCUGGACAGAAACAAGGACUCAUGGGUGCAGCACUACUGUGUGCUAAAAGAUGGAUGCCUCUAUUUCUAUGUGAGCAUUCGUUCAACCUGUGCCAUUGGAGGUAUCUACCUGCAUGGUUACACAGUGAAGGAUCAGCCGCUGGGAUCCAAAAGAUCUACGAUUGAGCUCAGACCUCCAUCUGAAGAGUUUAAAGUGUUCUACCUUUGUGCAGAGAACGCAAAUGAGAACAAACGAUGGAUUAGUGCAAUAAAAUCUUCUAUAGGAAAAUGGCUGCCAUUGCAUCAGGCAAUUCAAGACUACAUGAGUCGUCCACCCGAGGAAACAAGAAUGUGAACAAGACAGGUCUUGUCACAUGAGGUGUUUCGCAAGUUUAGUGGUGGAGCGGAGGGAACGUGAUGGUGAAGAUCCUAUGCCUUGUAUAGCUUUACAGAUACUGUCUCACACCAAAUUGGCAUUGAGAUACAAAAAUCUAAAAGAUCAGCUGUAUGUAAUAGGAUCUUUACCGUUUUGUUAAAAAGUCAGUGUUGAAUUGUUCUGGAGAUUGGUUUUGAAGUGCUGCAUUUGCCUAUUUAACAAAACUAUACAAUUUGAUAAUAACAUUAAAAAACAAAAACUAAUAGUAGAACAAUAAAAAAUGCAGAUUAAAUCAUAAAGUCAUCUGCUGUAAAUAUUCAUGAUAAAACCUAAAAUAAGUGUAACUCCAUAUAUAAUAUUCAAGUGCUUUUAUGACAACAGAGCAGCAGCGAGCACAUGAAGUUGUCAUGGCAACCAGAUACAUUGCAUGCUGCGCUGUGACGGUAACUGGAAGCAGAGAAAUAGAAGCAAAAGCCUAAUUCAUAUUAAGACGUACAUACAGUAUUAGGCCAUCAUCAUCAGACCUCAGCAUCACUUCUCAGCCAUUUAACAGAUUGCAUAUCAAAAAAAACCCUGAGCUUAUGUUAUAUAAGACUGAAUUAUUUGUUCACAUCAAACUGUUUUCUCUUUCACAUUUAUACAUAUUGUAAUUUAUCAUAAUCUUGUUUUAGUUCCACUUAACCAUUAAUUUGUUACAUGUUUCUUUGCAUUCAAUUUAAAGAUUAAGGAAAAAUGAUGGCCUGCAUUCCUGUAAACCGUUUUGUGUCACAUAAUUAGAAUUUUUACUAUGUUUUCCAUUUUCAGGAUUUGCUAACUAUGUGAAGACACGGCCACUGCUAUUGUACAUAAUACACAUUUUCUUUGUUUUUGCUGUCUAGGCCAGUUCCAUAAAACGUUUAGUUAUUUUUAUAUAGCCUACAGUAAAAUAUCUUACUGAUGUUUUUAGCUCAUUUAUACCAUUUUUAUAGCAAUAUUAUGAAUUUGUCUAUUCUUUGUAUAAAUACGGAUACAUUUCUGGCUUUUUGUAUUAAUAUUUUUAUUAGUACUAGGUGAUCUUCCAGUUUACAGUUUGAUAAGAAUUACUACAAACUAAGGAAGUAUUUACACCUGGUGACUUCAUGCAUGAAAUGAAUCUCGGAUUGCUGACUAUCUUAAAAG
This is a long non-coding RNA of Ctenopharyngodon idella (grass carp), 2087 nucleotides long. RefSeq lists it as uncharacterized. The record is from RefSeq and is a predicted model, not a curated record. NCBI's taxonomy places the organism in Eukaryota, Metazoa, Chordata, Actinopteri, Cypriniformes, Xenocyprididae. The transcript has 7 exons.